This 272-nucleotide ribosomal RNA is filed under the name uncultured bacterium. RNAcentral's name for it is "partial 16S ribosomal RNA". It matches the Rfam family "Bacterial small subunit ribosomal RNA", at positions 423 to 709 of the family's 1533-position model. The record is from RNAcentral.
CCCGGAACUCCUUUUCUCACAAAAGAAUAUCUGACGGUCCCUGAGGAAUUAGCUCCGGCUAACUUUGUGCCAGCAGCCGCGGUAAUACAAGGGGAGCAAGCGUUAUCCGGAAUGAUUGGGCGUAAAGCGUCUGUAGGUGGUUCUUUAAGUCUACUGUCAAAUACGUUGGCUCAACCAACGGCAGGCAGUAGAGUACUAAAGAACUAGAGUGCGGUAGAGGUAGAGGGAAUCCCUAGCGUAACAGUGAAAUGUGUANAUUUUAGGGGGAACAC